RNAcentral lists this transfer RNA (73 nucleotides) under Cordylochernes scorpioides. RNAcentral describes it as "tRNA-Thr". It matches the Rfam family "tRNA". Rfam says of the family: Transfer RNA (tRNA) molecules are approximately 80 nucleotides in length. The record is from RNAcentral. Lineage: Eukaryota; Metazoa; Arthropoda; Arachnida; Pseudoscorpiones; Chernetidae.
UCCAGGGUAGCCUAGUGGAUAUGACAUCUGCCUGGUAAGCGGAACAUUGUGGGUUCGAUUCCCAUCCCUGGAC